CCCUUAGAUGUUCUGGGCCGCACGCGCGCUACACUGACGGAGCCAGCGAGUACAUCACCUUAGCCGAAAGGUUUGGGUAAUCUUGUUAAACUCCGUCGUGCUGGGGAUAGAGCAUUGCAAUUAUUGCUCUUCAACGAGGAAUGCCUAGUAAGCGCAAGUCAUCAGCUUGCGUUGACUACGUCCCUGCCCUUUGUACACACCGCCCGUCGCUACUACCGAUUGAAUGGCUCAGUGAGGCUUUGGGACUGGCUCAGGGAGGUCGGCAACGACCACCCAGAGCCGGAAACUUAGUCAAACUUGGUCAUUUAGAGGAAGUAAAANUCGUAACA
RNAcentral lists this ribosomal RNA (329 nucleotides) under uncultured eukaryote. RNAcentral's name for it is "partial 18S ribosomal RNA". It matches the Rfam family "Eukaryotic small subunit ribosomal RNA", at positions 1470 to 1796 of the family's 1831-position model. The record is from RNAcentral.